This 497-nucleotide ribosomal RNA is filed under the name uncultured bacterium. RNAcentral describes it as "partial 16S ribosomal RNA". It matches the Rfam family "Bacterial small subunit ribosomal RNA", at positions 28 to 507 of the family's 1533-position model. The record is from RNAcentral.
GAUGAACGCUGGCGGCGUGCCUAAUACAUGCAAGUCGAGCGAACAGACGAGGAGCUUGCUCCUCUGACGUUAGCGGCGGACGGGUGAGUAACACGUGGAUAACCUACCUAUAAGACUGGGAUAACUUCGGGAAACCGGAGCUAAUACCGGAUAAUAUAUUGAACCGCAUGGUUCAAUAGUGAAAGACGGUUUUGCUGUCACUUAUAGAUGGAUCCGCGCCGCAUUAGCUAGUUGGUAAGGUAACGGCUUACCAAGGCAACGAUGCGUAGCCGACCUGAGAGGGUGAUCGGCCACACUGGAACUGAGACACGGUCCAGACUCCUACGAGAGGCAGCAGUAGGGAAUCUUCCGCAAUGGGCGAAAGCCUGACGGAGCAACGCCGCGUGAGUGAUGAAGGUCUUCGGAUCGUAAAACUCUGUUAUUAGGGAAGAACAAAUGUGUAAGUAACUAUGCACGUCUUGACGGUACCUAAUCAGAAAGCCACGGCUAACUUCGUG